RNAcentral lists this ribosomal RNA (468 nucleotides) under uncultured bacterium. RNAcentral describes it as "partial 16S ribosomal RNA". It matches the Rfam family "Bacterial small subunit ribosomal RNA", at positions 28 to 507 of the family's 1533-position model. The record is from RNAcentral.
GACGAACGCUGGCGGCGUGCUUAACACAUGCAAGUCGAACGGAAAGGCCCUGCUUUUGUGGGGUGCUCGAGUGGCGAACGGGUGAGUAACACGUGAGUAACCUGCCCUUGACUUUGGGAUAACUUCAGGAAACUGGGGCUAAUACCGGAUAGGAGCUCCUGCUGCAUUGUGGGGGUUGGAAAGUUUCGGCUGUUGGGGAUGGACUGGAGGCUUAUCAGCUUGUUGGUGGGGUAGUGGCUUACCAAGGCUUUGACGGGUAGCCGGCCUGCGAGGGUGACCGGCCACAUGAGUACUGAGGUACGGACCAGACUCCUACGGGAGGCAGCGGUGGGGAAUAUUGCACAAUGGGCGGAAGCCUGAUACAGCAACGCCGCGUGCGGGAUGACGGCCUACGGGUUGUAAACCGCUUUCGCCGGUGACGAAGCGUGAGUGACGGUAAUGGGUAAAGAAGCACCGGCUAACUACGUG